UUCAAAAGAAAAAGGAAAGAAAAAAAAAGGGGAUCCGGGAGAAACUUGGGUUGUUCGCCGCCGAUCUUGCCGGAGGAACUCGCCGGAGGUAAGGUGAGCACCCUCUUCUCCUCCUUCUUUAUCUUUGGGCCGUUAUUUCCUUGGGAUAUGGCCGGGAAGUUGCCGGAUUGAGAAGAACCGAACCUGCCCUCGGCGGCUUGGUUCCUUCUUCCGUUCCGGCCGGCCGUCGCCGGGCGUGGCACCACCGGCACUGCCAUAGGCCGACGACCAGGGG
RNAcentral lists this long non-coding RNA (274 nucleotides) under Phoenix dactylifera (date palm). RNAcentral's name for it is "long non-coding RNA (PDAC_LNC007722)". Lineage: Eukaryota; Viridiplantae; Streptophyta; Magnoliopsida; Arecales; Arecaceae. The record is from RNAcentral.